CCAUACCAAACAACCCUUUUUAAAGAAUAAGAUCAUUAAUGAUUGGUGGCUGUUGCUGACUAGUGUUUCUAGUAUGUGCACGCCACACCUUCAAUCCCACUUACACCUGUGCACCUUCUGUAAUAGAUCUAUGUGGAUACGGAGAUGUGAAAGUUUGCGCUCUCCUACUCUGUUGAAGCACAGCUCUACUACGUUUUUUUUACACACACACACCAAAAGUCAUUGAAUGUAUUUUUUUUAUUCUUAUGAUAAAAACAACUUUCAACAACGGAUCCCUUGGCUCUCGCAUCCAUGAAGAACGUAACGAAUUACGACAUGUAAUGUGAAUUGGAGAAUUCAGUGAAUCAUCGAAUCUUUGAACGCCCCUUGCGCUCUUUGGUAUUCCGAAGAGCAUGCCUGUUUGAGUGUCAUGAAUCUCUCAAAAUGGCAAUGAUUUUUAUUAAUUGUUGGGUUUGGACUUGGAAAGCUGGCCGGCGCGAGUCGACUCCUCUUAAAUGCAUUAACUGGGGGUUAUAUUAGUUGGAUCCUUGGUGUGAUAAUUAUCUACGCCUUGAAGUCCCUGUAGGACUCUGCUUCAAAUCGUCUCCUAGAGACAACAUUUGAAUCAUCUGACCUCAAAUCAGGUAGGACUACCCGCUGAACUUAAGCAUAUCAUAGCGGGAGGA
The sequence is a ribosomal RNA, 665 nucleotides long. The stretch from base 257 to 410 matches the Rfam family "5.8S ribosomal RNA".